Molecule: ribosomal RNA, 230 nt
Filed under: uncultured bacterium
Lineage: Bacteria
Description: partial 16S ribosomal RNA
Rfam family: Bacterial small subunit ribosomal RNA
Source: RNAcentral
AAUCAACGCUGGCGGCGUGCCUCAGACAUGCAAGUCGAACGAUUAAAGCUCUCUUCGGAGAGUGUAUAGAGUGGCGCACGGGUGAGUAACACGUAAGUAAUCUACCCUCGGGUGGGAAUAACAUUCGGAAACGAAUGCUAAUACCGCAUAAUGCAGCGGCUCCUAAUGGAGACAGUUGUUAAAGGAUUUAUUCGCCUGAGGAGGAGCUUGCGGCAGAUUAGCUAGUUGGU